RNAcentral lists this ribosomal RNA (433 nucleotides) under Pseudomonas aeruginosa. RNAcentral's name for it is "bacterial SSU rRNA". It matches the Rfam family "Bacterial small subunit ribosomal RNA", at positions 129 to 555 of the family's 1533-position model. The record is from RNAcentral. Lineage: Bacteria; Pseudomonadati; Pseudomonadota; Gammaproteobacteria; Pseudomonadales; Pseudomonadaceae.
CCGGGAAGUGUGGGAUAACGUCCGGAAUCGGGCGCUAAUACCGCAUACGUCCUGAGGGAGAAAGUGGGGGAUCUUCGGACCUCACGCUAUCAGAUGAGCCUAGGUCGGAUUAGCUAGUUGGUGGGGGAAAGGCCUACCAAGGCGACGAUCCGUAACUGGUCUGAGAGGAUGAUCAGUCACACUGGAACUGAGACAGGGUCCAGACUCCUACGGGAGGCAGCAGUGGGGAGUAGUGGACAUAGGGCGAAAGUUUGAUCCAGCGAUGACUCAUGUGUAAGGAAGCUCUUCGUAUUGGACAUAAUCCUACGUCGGAGGGAACGAGCGGACGUUAAUACUGUGCUGUCUUGACGUUACCACCAGAAGAAGCCCCGCCAUCUUUUCGUACCAUCUGCGGCUGUAAUACGAAGGGUGGGAUCUUCGAAUCGGAUUUACU